Sinocyclocheilus anshuiensis is the source of this 590-nucleotide long non-coding RNA. RefSeq lists it as uncharacterized. NCBI's taxonomy places the organism in Eukaryota, Metazoa, Chordata, Actinopteri, Cypriniformes, Cyprinidae. The transcript has 3 exons. The record is from RefSeq and is a predicted model, not a curated record.
CCAUGGUGUCCAAUCAGUGCAGAAAUCCAGCUCACAUCGGCCAGUCCGUUCCACCUGCACAGGUAAACACGCUCUUUCUGUCUCUCCGACGUGUCUUUCUGAUUCCCUGUAAAGUUUGAAACCUGAGAGCCAUAGUCAGGGUUCAGCUCACCCUCUGGGAUGCUUAGCCGUCUCGUUCUCGGGUCUGAAAGCGAGAUUGAGGCUUACAAACGCUGCGUUUUCAAGGAGGAGCGAGUCGAAUGUUUUCAGGUGAAAGUCUAGGGCAGGUAACUCAAGCCUUUAUCCACGCCCCUUCAGCUUUACACUCACAGAUGAGAGCAUUUUACAGGCAUGAAGCACGUGCUUUGGCUGCACAGACUGCAAAUGAAAGGCAUCGAGGCUCAACCCUCCCUUUUCAUCAUGAAAUUGGCUGGUCAGCUUCAGAGAGAGACACUCUGCGUAAUGAGAAAACAACACUCCCCCUUGUGGUAAAAAAAGCAAACACCUCACUGCAACCGCCCAGGAUUACACAUAUGAUUUCACUGGAUUAUAUGGAGUACAUUUAAUAAGCAUGUUCUGAAAAGCUAAUACUUUAAAGCUUAGAAUUAAUA